RNAcentral lists this ribosomal RNA (239 nucleotides) under uncultured bacterium. Its description in RNAcentral is "partial 16S ribosomal RNA". It matches the Rfam family "Bacterial small subunit ribosomal RNA", at positions 15 to 236 of the family's 1533-position model. The record is from RNAcentral.
GAUCAUGGCUCAGGAUGAACGCUGGCGGCGUGCCUAACACAUGCAAGUCGAACGAAGCAAUUUAACGGAAGUUUUCGGACGGAAGUUGAAUUGACUGAGUGGCGGACGGGUGAGUAACGCGUGGGUAACCUGCCUUGUACUGGGGGACAACAGUUAGAAAUGACUGCUAAUACCGCAUAAGCGCACAGUAUCGCAUGAUACAGUGUGGAAAACUCCGGUGGUACAAGAUGGACCCGCGU